RNAcentral lists this transfer RNA (73 nucleotides) under Fukomys damarensis (Damara mole-rat). It matches the Rfam family "tRNA". Rfam says of the family: Transfer RNA (tRNA) molecules are approximately 80 nucleotides in length. Their secondary structure includes four short double-helical elements and three loops (D, anti-codon, and T loops). The record is from Rfam by way of RNAcentral. Lineage: Eukaryota; Metazoa; Chordata; Mammalia; Rodentia; Bathyergidae.
GAGGAUAUAGCUCAGUAGUAAGAGUGUUUGCCUAGCAUGUGAGAGGCCCUGGGUUCUAUGCCCAGUGCCCUUC